AGAGUUUGAUCAUGGCUCAGGAUGAACGCUAGCUACAGGCUUAACACAUGCAAGUCGAGGGGCAGCAUGUUGGUUGCUUGCAACCAACGAUGGCGACCGGCGCACGGGUGAGUAACGCGUAUCCAACCUACCCUUGUCCAUCGGAUAACCCGUCGAAAGGCGGCCUAACACGAUAUGCGGUUCACGGCAGGCAUCUAAGGUGAACGAAAUGUGAAGGAGAAGGAUGGGGAUGCGUCUGAUUAGCUUGUUGGCGGGUAACGGCCACCAAGGCUACGAUCAGUAGGGGUUCUGAGAGGAAGGUCCCCCACAUUGGAACUGAGACACGGUACCAAACUCCGUACGGGAGGCA
Molecule: ribosomal RNA, 349 nt
Filed under: uncultured bacterium
Lineage: Bacteria
Description: bacterial SSU rRNA
Rfam family: Bacterial small subunit ribosomal RNA
Source: RNAcentral